RNAcentral lists this transfer RNA (69 nucleotides) under Camelus bactrianus (Bactrian camel). It matches the Rfam family "tRNA". Rfam says of the family: Transfer RNA (tRNA) molecules are approximately 80 nucleotides in length. Their secondary structure includes four short double-helical elements and three loops (D, anti-codon, and T loops). Further hydrogen bonds mediate the characteristic L-shaped molecular structure. tRNAs have two regions of fundamental functional importance: the anti-codon, which is responsible for specific mRNA codon recognition, and the 3' end, to which the tRNAs corresponding amino acid is attached (by aminoacyl-tRNA synthetases). tRNAs cope with the degeneracy of the genetic code in two manners: having more than one tRNA (with a specific anti-codon) for a particular amino acid; and 'wobble' base-pairing, i.e. permitting non-standard base-pairing at the 3rd anti-codon position. The record is from Rfam by way of RNAcentral. RNAcentral also lists the same sequence under 2 other names. Lineage: Eukaryota; Metazoa; Chordata; Mammalia; Artiodactyla; Camelidae.
GAGGGUAUAGCUCAGCAGAGUGCAUGCUUAGCAUGCACAAGGUCCUGGGUUCAAUCCCCAGUACCUCCA